RNAcentral lists this long non-coding RNA (2778 nucleotides) under Sorghum bicolor (sorghum). Its description in RNAcentral is "long non-coding RNA (SBIC_LNC016818)". Lineage: Eukaryota; Viridiplantae; Streptophyta; Magnoliopsida; Poales; Poaceae. The record is from RNAcentral.
UAGCUCAAUGCCCUCAAUAAAUUAGCAUCAGGUGCUGACAGUCAAAAUGUGAUUGAGAGAAUAGAAGAUGAAACUAAAACCACAUGCAACAAAAAGGUCAAACUCAGACUGAAUUGAGAUAAGUUAGCAAAAGCCAGAGAAAAUUGGUCUAGGCUAGUUUGUGGUCUUCCUAGCUGAAGACAUGUAAAACUAGUUCAGGUUGGUUUCUCGCCUAGCUAAAACCGAGCCAGGCCAAUUUCUUCUAGAAACAUGUUGAGCACUGUUAAACUGGCCUAGGUUGGUUUUCGUGCCAACAUGAACCGAUUUGGGAUGUCCAAAGACAAUUCAUGAUUUUCUACUUGGAAACUACUCCGGUUUCAUGGGAAACUUGAAGAUUACAUGUGGAUAUGUUUUCAACUAGGAUAAGAUCAUCUCUCUCUAUUUCUAUGAGUGGAUCACAGUCGAUUAAAAGCCACAGGACAAGUUAUUUUCUAAUAAGCUCGAUGUGGUCUAUUUGGCGAAUGAGUUCAUGUAUUGUGAUGUCAUUUCUAAUAUUCCUUGGUGUUGUAAUAAUGUUGCUCAUGAGCUAGUUCAAUCUAGAUUGAGAAGGAACCCAAGUCAUUCAUGUGUCCGGUUUCACCCCUUUGGAACUUUGUAAUCUCUCUUGUGGAUCAUGAUAUCAUUGAUCCCAUGGUUAAAUGAGUGAAUGAACUUUUUUGCUUGAAAAUCAUCUACUAUACUUGUUAUCUUCUCUCCUCUACAUUUCCAACUUGUUAUUGUUGUUCGUUCUUUGUUGUCGUUGCCGAUGAUUAUUGGUCCAAUGAUGCCAAAACUCAAAGCGGUUAGGCCAGGUAGGGUAGCCCAUAGCCAAUGUAUGCCUUGACAACAACGUGUAUUAAGUAUCGCACUCAUCGCUGGAGACGUAAGGUAAAGUGUUCAUGUGCGAACAUGUUAUGCGGUGAGCCGACCUAAAAGUCAGCUAAGCUAUUUUUUGGCCCAUCUUAAUUUGGGAGGCUGACCACUAAAAUCAUAACCCGCUAAUACAAUACUAACCUUGAACCGCUAAAAUCUUAAUAAAAAACUAACCCUAACCUAACCCUAGCAUGCUAUAAAAGUAAUUCUAACCGAAACCUAAACUAAAAAUAAACUAAGCAUGGCAUACACUAACGCAAAGUAGAUCUGUCUAUUUACACUAAUCGAUCCAUCUACACAAUAUUCUAACUAACUGUAAAUCCUAAAUUACUAACAAACUAGAUAUAUCUAACUACAAAUCCUACUGUUGAAAAAAGAAAAAAAAAAGAAAAACCUUACCUUCAUAGGCACCGACGUCAGUAGUGGAGGUAGGAGCGGUGGCAGGGAGGCGGGAUCUCCCUCUGUUACUCAUGGAAAAGGAGGUGGCACCGAAAAAAGCGAGAUACAGAGGCGCGAGAGAGAGUAUGCGUGAGGAAGAAGGUCUCUAGAUAUUUUAGAGCCUGUCGGCUCUUGUCGCAACUAAAUUUGCAAUUAAUUUUAGAUAACAACCAGAUUUGUAUCAAAAAUAUUAUUUAAAAAAACCCUCUAGCAGCGAUCUGGAAAUGCUUCCACUAAAAAUGCCAGUACCUUGUUUCUAUGCUAUUAUCCUCACUUUUGUUGAAUGUUUAACACUUGUAAAAUUGGAUUGGGUUGGUACUUAUAUUUUCUAGAAUUUGUCUUGUUGUCCUCCUUUGUGUCUAAAAAGAAGAAACCAAGGAUGAGUGGGAGAAUGCGUGUGCAUUAAGGAUGGGGAUGGCCCUCCAUAUACAUACCCGCAGCUAUUCUCUAGUGUAAUUAAUGAACUACAUAGUCAAUUUUUUUCCUUAUUUUUUUUUAAUUUAGUUUACUUAAUUACACUAAAGAAGAACCGUGGGUACGUUUGGAGCACCGUCCCCAUCCUUAGUGUGCAUACAGCAAGUCAACUAGUAUGAGGUACACGCGUAGUGCGGAAAGACGCCUGGUGCGUUUCUCCUUUCCCCUUCUCUCUUCUUCCCCCAUCGGAUAGAUCUCGCCGCCGCCAACCCGCUGCUCGCUAGCCCCUUCCCUCUCGGCUCCGGCGUCUUCGCCACACCGGGUAGGGAAAGGAGCCCCUCUCCCUCUCCCUCCUGUAAAUCCGCUAGGAGUCCCGCGGUGGGUUCUCCCCUGGUGGCCGUCUUCGCCGUUGCCGUCGUCGUCGCUGCUGCUGCAGCUCCCUUCGCCGCCGGCGAAGCUCCCAUCAAGGUAUGUCUAAAUAAAAUAAAUCUGCUCCCCCGUAGCUCGCCUUCUUGUUCUUCCACCUCCACCCUGCCUUCCUCGCGUCGCCUCCCAGAUCUGCGCUCCCCCGUCCUGUAUCCACCUUUUCUCCUCCCAGAUCCGUGCUCCCCCAACCCGUAUCCGCCUCUUCUCGCCUCCGCCUCCACCUCUUCCUGGCAGCCAUCACUCUUGCACCAGACAGCUCUUUUGGCGGUGUUUCCGCGACGUUUUCGCCCCCACCUAGGGCCCGACUUGGAGCUUCAUCCUCUACCCCCGGCGACGACAUCAACCUCAACUUCGGUCGCUCGGCGCAUGCUUUCUCACCGGCUCCGUCGCCCCACCUUCAACCGACGCUUGGCGUGGCCUUCCAUCUGGGUGUAUAUGCCUUCGGCGCCUCUACGACCCUCCGCCGGCGAAUUCGUCGUCGUCAAAGUCUCCGAUGUAGCUGCUGUUCUUAUCCGGUCUUUGGACCUAGUUGUAAUUCGAUUUUCCUUCGAGGACCUAUCUGUAAUAUGGCUGCUUAAUAUAUAAUAUAUGCGGUUGUUAAAAAAAAAC